Molecule: ribosomal RNA, 661 nt
Filed under: uncultured bacterium
Lineage: Bacteria
Description: bacterial SSU rRNA
Rfam family: Bacterial small subunit ribosomal RNA
Source: RNAcentral
CUUCGGGUAAUGAGGAUGGCGGACGGGUGAGUAACGCGUAAGGAACUUGCCUCUUGGACUGGGACAACUGUUGGAAACGACAGCUAAUACCGGAUAUUAUGAGAUUCUCGCAUGAGAAACUUAUGAAAGCUAUAUGCGCCAAGAGAGAGCCUUGCGUUCCAUUAGCUAGUUGGUGGGGUAAUGGCCCACCAAGGCGACGAUGGAUAGCCGGCCUGAGAGGGUGAACGGCCACAAGGGGACUGAGACACGGCCCUUACUCCUACGGGAGGCAGCAGUGGGGAAUAUUGGACAAUGGGCCACAAGCCUGAUCCAGCAAUUCUGUGUGCACGAUGAAGGUCUUCGGAUUGUAAAGUGCUUUCAGUUGGGAAGAAGAAAGUGACGGUACCAACAGAAGAAGCGACGGCUAAAUACGUGCCAGCGGCCGCGGUAAUACGUAUGUCGCAAGCGUUAUCCGGAUUUAUUGGGCGUAAAGCGCGUCUAGGCGGAAAAAUAAGUCUGAUGUUAAAAUGCGGGGCUCAACUCCGUAUUGCGUUGGAAACUGUUUUUCUAGAGUACUGGAGAGGUGGGCGGAACUACAAGUGUAGAGGUGAAAUUCGUAGAUAUUUGUAGGAAUGCCGAUGGAGAAGUCAGCUCACUGGACAGAUACUGACGCUGAAGCGCG